UUUGUGCGCGUGUGACAAGGCACGGUUUGUGCACAUGCGUGUGUGCAUGUGCAUGUAUGUAUG
This 63-nucleotide microRNA precursor is filed under the name Myotis lucifugus (little brown bat). RNAcentral describes it as "miRNA (ENSMLUG00000020474.1)". Lineage: Eukaryota; Metazoa; Chordata; Mammalia; Chiroptera; Vespertilionidae. The record is from RNAcentral.